RNAcentral lists this non-coding RNA (29 nucleotides) under Cricetulus griseus (Chinese hamster). The record is from RNAcentral. Lineage: Eukaryota; Metazoa; Chordata; Mammalia; Rodentia; Cricetidae.
AACGACUAUGCCGACCUUAACCAGACUGC